UGUAAGCGUAUACCAAAGUUGUUGCAGUUAAAACGCUCGUAGUCGGAAUUUGGCAGUUCCGGAUGUGUGCACGUCGUGUGCGCACUUCGCGGGGAUUGCUUUUGUGGUCUUGCGUAGGAUGAGGCACUUUUAUUAGUGAACGUCCUCACGCAACCACUUUUUACUGUGAGAAAAUCAGAGUGCCCAAAGCAGGCAUUUGCCGUGAAUGUAUUAGCAUGGAAUAAUAGAAUAGGACUUGGUUCUAUUUUGUUGGUUUGUUGGGACUGAGUAAUGAUUAAGAGGGACAGUUGGGGGCAUUUGUAUUUCGGUGCUAGAGGUGAAAUUCUUAGAUUACCGAAAGACAAACUGCUGCGAAAGCGUCUGCCAAGGAUGUUUUCAUUGA
This 382-nucleotide ribosomal RNA is filed under the name uncultured eukaryote. RNAcentral describes it as "partial 18S ribosomal RNA". It matches the Rfam family "Eukaryotic small subunit ribosomal RNA", at positions 592 to 976 of the family's 1831-position model. The record is from RNAcentral.